AUAACUCGUGUAUUUACUUAUGUACAACGUCGUGAAUUGCUUUAAAUUAUUCUAAAUAAAUAUAUUUGUUAAUUAUCGUUGUAAAUUAUAUAAAAGUAUCAAGUUAGGUAGUUAAAAUACACAUUAUUGUUCGUGGAGUAGUAAAACAGACACAAUGUUGUUAUUUUUAGUAAUAUAUUUAUUUGCACCUUAUCAGAACGGUGCCGUUGCAGACUACAAAAGUUAUAAAAACUACAAAAUUUAUGAAAUUAAUGGAAAUAUUGACAACAUACAAAAACUUAUUACAAAUUUGACUGCAAUUGCUGAAAUCCCGUACUAUGAAAAGGGGCGGUCGCGCGCAGAAGUGUUGAUUGCGCCGGAUUUGGUCGAAACAUUCUCUACCGCAUUAGAACAUUAUGAUUUGCAUAAAGAAAUUAUUAUCGAAGACUUCUCAAAAAUCAUUGAACACGAAAAACAAGUCUACCGGCGGUCGGGAUUACCUUUUUCCUGGAAAGCUUAUUACGAUGUGGAUGAUAUUUACAGCUUCUUAAGGAACAUGAGUAACGACUACCCUCAGUGGACCAAUGUGGUGGUAGGAGGACAGAGCUAUGAGAGUCGAGAGAUCCUGGGGUUGCGUAUAAAUACUCCUACAAGGACAAAUAAAAAGAUAGUAUUCAUUGAAUCAGGUAUCCACGCCCGGGAGUGGAUCACUCCGGCCACGACGACCUUCUUCAUCAACCAACUGCUCACCAGCUCAGACCCGGCCAUCACAGCACUCAGAGACAAGUUUGAGUGGCAUAUCUUCCCCACUAUCAACCCUGAUGGCUAUCAUUAUAGUUUUAAUACGAAUAUGAUGUAUCUAGUGAUCCAUGUGACGAACAGGUUUACGGCGGUUCCAAGGCAUUUUCCGAGGUGUAAACCAAAACUUUAUCCGAAUACAUACGCAGUUUGAAGAACCUAACUGCUUACAUCACCUUCCAUUCAUAUGCUGGGAUGCUUUUAAUACCCAUAUCGGAUAGUGUCAAGCCUGUAAGCAAUUAUGACGACUUGGGCUCACACAUCCUGGACAGGUCUGCCACCAUCGAGAAACCGCUAAAUGGGGCCAACGGAACCCUCAAAUUUUAGUAGAAGGUAAAGUAGAAUUUUGAGCACCUCAUUAUCUCAAAGAUUCUUUUAAACUUUUCGUGAGGAGCGCGGAUUAAUUAAAUUUACUUUAAGAGCUUCUCAGAUGUUGGCGGAGUGAGUGAAAACACAAAAUGCGUCUGUAUUUUUCUCGUGGAAUUUCCAUUAUUGUGGGCGUUGUUUGCCGCAUAAUUUGAACAGCUUCUACUACGCAUCCAAUAUAGGUUGGGUGGCAACCCAACCUAAAAUGUCUUUAUGAACGGCCUAGGAAGAACGGCAGUUCUUCCUAGGCCGUUCAUACAAGACAUUUUAGUAACAAGUAUUUUUUUAAAUGCCAUUUUUGACAUUAUUUUUAUUAUCUUGUGACAUGUAACGCCUGACAUUGAGAAGUUGCCGGGUCUGGAGCCAUUCCUACGGUACACAGUACACAAUCAGGUCAUGCUUAUCAUAAUAAUGCAUUGUCAUGGAAACUGAAGCGACGUGGGAAGUUUCAACUUUGUAGGACAAGGGGAAAUUCAACUUGUAAGAUUUGAUUACAGACAAACAUCGGGACAGGUGAAAUUAAAUAAAAACUUAUAAAAAUGGCAAGGUUUUGUAUUCUUUAAGUACACAAAAUAUGAAAAAUAAACACAUGAAAUAUAUUCCUAAUGGCCGUUUUUGAAGUCUCACAUCAUCACACUCAAUAUAAGAAAACAGAUUCGAGGAACAAAUCGUACACAAGAAGCGCACUACACAUUUACUAUGACCUCUGUGGCGUAAUGGUCACCACGUCCGUCCGUCUGGAGAGUUUGGGUUCGAUUUCCUGUGAUCACAAAUAUUUGUCUGCAGUUAUUGGUGUAUUAUGCCCACGAUACAUGCUUAGAAGCUUAGUUUGGUUGUUGAGUGUUAUCCAUUUAUUUACAUAAGCUAAUCCCAGCGUCAUCCGAGUUCAUAUGUUCUGAACGACUUUUACAUCGAUCCAUAAGGAAGCUCCAUACUUACUUACAUCCUAACUGCAGACAUGUGCAACUCGGAAUGGGCAGUAUUAUCGUUAUCAGUAAUGGCCGCCAAUCAAGCACCUCGAAUUUGGUCCGAAACCGAUCGUCCAAGACGAGAGUAGCUAUUAGCUGGACCACACAAAAAAGUAAGUACGGAAGAAUGACUCGUCACUUCUUUCCUUUGUAUCUGAUUUGUUGAAGUUGGGUAGAUAAUAAGUAGCGAAUAUUAGCGAUAACCAACAUUUUACAAUGGUACGUCAAUUAUUUCGCAUAUGUACUCCUGUAUAAUCAUUUUGUUCACGGUGAAAUACGAUUAAAGAGAUAUAUUAUGAACAGGUAGAUUUGGCAACUCGUUUGGUAAAUAACUCAAAAUUAUUAGUGUAGUGUUGUUAAUAUUUUCCCUCAAUUACAGAAUUUUAAAGUCGUAUUAAACUUACGUUUUAGGUAGAUUUAUUUUUAUGUAAGGAACCCCAAUGUAACAAUUUAUAUUUAUUAGAAAUGCUUUCAAGUGGAUAAACUUGAAAGCAUUUCUAGUCCAUUUGUAUACUUCUAUCCCUAGUCCAUUUAUAUAUUUGCAAUUAUUUUUGAAAAAUUUUCUAAAUCAAAAAACUAAGUUAAGCGUUGGAAAAUUGAUCUAGUAAGAAAUCGGCUGAGUAAAGCGGCCUAAUUAC
RNA transcript from Plodia interpunctella (Indianmeal moth), 2749 nucleotides. It is a transcript of the gene named zinc carboxypeptidase A 1-like, with no coding region annotated. NCBI's taxonomy places the organism in Eukaryota, Metazoa, Arthropoda, Insecta, Lepidoptera, Pyralidae. The record is from RefSeq and is a predicted model, not a curated record. The transcript has 7 exons.